RNAcentral lists this ribosomal RNA (814 nucleotides) under Chloridium humicola. RNAcentral's name for it is "Phialocephala humicola partial large subunit ribosomal RNA". It matches the Rfam family "Eukaryotic large subunit ribosomal RNA", at positions 75 to 921 of the family's 3401-position model. Lineage: Eukaryota; Fungi; Ascomycota; Sordariomycetes; Chaetosphaeriales; Chaetosphaeriaceae. The record is from RNAcentral.
UUGCCUCAGUAACGGCGAGUGAAGCGGCAACAGCUCAAAUUUGAAAUCUGGCCCCCCGGCCCGAGUUGUAAUUUGCAGAGGAUGCUUCGGGCGCGGUGCCUUCCAAGUCCCCUGGAACGGGGCGCCGGAGAGGGUGAGAGCCCCGUACGGUUGGCGGCCAAGCCUGUGUGAAGCUCCUUCGACGAGUCGAGUAGUUUGGGAAUGCUGCUCUAAGCGGGAGGUAGACCCCUUCUAAAGCUAAAUAUAGGCCAGAGACCGAUAGCGCACAAGUAGAGUGAUCGAAAGAUGAAAAGCACUUUGAAAAGAGGGUUAAACAGCACGUGAAAUUGUUGAAAGGGAAGCGCUUGCGACCAGACGUGCGCCGGGGUGCUCAGCGGGCGUUCUCGCCCGUGCACUCGCCCCGGCGCAGGCCAGCGUCGGUUCGCGUGGGAGGAUAAAGGCGCCUGGAAUGUGGCUCCCUCGGGAGUGUUAUAGCCAGGCGUGCCAUGCUCCCCUGCGGACCGAGGUACGCGUUCUGCAAGGACGCUGGCGUAAUGGUCCCCAGCGACCCGUCUUGAAACACGGACCAAGGAGUCGAGGUUUUGCGCGAGUGUUUGGGUGUUAAACCCGCACGCGUAAUGAAAGUGAACGUAGGUGGGAGCUUCGGCGCACCACCGACCGAUCCUGAUGUUCUCGGAUGGAUUUGAGUAAGAGCGUAGGGCCUCGGACCCGAAAGAUGGUGAACUAUGCUUGGAUAGGGUGAAGCCAGAGGAAACUCUGGUGGAGGCUCGCAGCGGUUCUGACGUGCAAAUCGAUCGUCAAAUCUGAGCAUGGG